RNAcentral lists this ribosomal RNA (305 nucleotides) under uncultured bacterium. RNAcentral describes it as "bacterial SSU rRNA". It matches the Rfam family "Bacterial small subunit ribosomal RNA", at positions 336 to 657 of the family's 1533-position model. The record is from RNAcentral.
CGCCUACGGGAGGCAGCAGUGGGGAAUAUUGCACAAUGGGGGGAACCCUGAUGCAGCGACGCCGCGUGGGUGAAGGAGUAUUUCGGUAUGUAAAGCCCUAUCAGCAGGGAAGAACAAUGACGGUACCUGACUAAGAAGCCCCGGCUAACUACGUGCCAGCAGCCGCGGUAAUACGUAGGGGGCAAGCGUUAUCCGGAUUUACUGGGUGUAAAGGGAGCGUAGACGGCAAUACAAGUCGGAAGUGAAAUACCCGGGCUCAACCUGGGAACUGCUUUGGAAACUGUAUGGCUGGAGUGCUGGAGAGG